GCCACCGUAGCUCAGUUGGUAGAGCAGCUGAUUUGUAAUCAGCUGGUCGGGGGUUCAAAUCCUCUCGGUGGCU
Molecule: transfer RNA, 73 nt
Filed under: Nitrospirota bacterium
Lineage: Bacteria; Pseudomonadati; Nitrospirota
Description: Nitrospirae bacterium (sediment metagenome) tRNA-Thr
Rfam family: tRNA
About the family: Transfer RNA (tRNA) molecules are approximately 80 nucleotides in length.
Source: RNAcentral